Molecule: ribosomal RNA, 364 nt
Filed under: Enterobacter kobei
Lineage: Bacteria; Pseudomonadati; Pseudomonadota; Gammaproteobacteria; Enterobacterales; Enterobacteriaceae
Description: partial 23S ribosomal RNA
Rfam family: Bacterial large subunit ribosomal RNA
Source: RNAcentral
AAGGGUAUGGCUGUUCGCCAUUUAAAGUGGUACGCGAGCUGGGUUUAGAACGUCGUGAGACAGUUCGGUCCCUAUCUGCCGUGGGCGCUGGAGAAUUGAGGGGGGCUGCUCCUAGUACGAGAGGACCGGAGUGGACGCAUCACUGGUGUUCGGGUUGUCAUGCCAAUGGCACUGCCCGGUAGCUAAAUGCGGAAGAGAUAAGUGCUGAAAGCAUCUAAGCACGAAACUUGCCCCGAGAUGAGUUCUCCCUGAGACUUUAAGUCUCCUGAAGGAACGUUAAAGACUAUGACGUUGAUAGGUCGGGUGUGUAAGCGCAGCGAUGCGUUGAGCUAACCGAUACUAAUGAACCGUGAGGCUUAACCUU